RNA transcript from Zea mays, 2469 nucleotides. RefSeq lists it as uncharacterized. The record is from RefSeq and is a predicted model, not a curated record. Lineage: Eukaryota; Viridiplantae; Streptophyta; Magnoliopsida; Poales; Poaceae. The transcript has 4 exons.
GCAGGAAAUAGUGAGGAGCUGCCAUUGUUCAAGGAUAGCUGCAGAAAAUUAGACUUACAACGUGUGUGAUUGAGAAAUGAGAAGCCUCCUCACACAACACAGCCGACUGAAAAUGCAUACGUCGUCGGAAGUGGCAGCUCCAAUGACGUGGCUCGUUCUCACGCUCCUGCUCUCAUCAGCGGUUUACUUUUGCCUUCUUCCUUUGAUUUUUUGUCCUUCGAUUGGAUGGCACCCGCCGACGAUUUACAUUUCACCUACGCAUACGCAUGUGCCGCAGGCCGCCGCCGUGGAGACGGUGAAAGUGGUCACCACCCCAGUCUUCCCUCAGAUCCCUCGGCUCCAGGCAAGCAAAGACUUCCAGGUGGUGGUGCGCCUCGAGGCGCCACCGGUGGCGCAGCAGAAGGCGCGCGUCCCCGUCGACCUCGCCGUGGUGCUCGAUGUGGGUGCCGGUGGCGGUGGCAGCACCGGCUCGGCGAGGCUGGAUGCGGUGAAGAAGGCCGUCAAGUUUAUCAUCGGGCAGAUCCAUGACAACGACCGUCUCGCCGUCGUCGGGCCGUCGCCCAACCGCCGGCUAGUCAUCGGGUUUCCGAGCACUCACGAGGCUCGACAGAAUGCCGAAAAAUCCGUCGACGACCUGGAGCCCCGUGGCGAGUUCGCGUCCGGCGCCGGCUUGGAGGAGGCCGUCAAGCUGAUCCGAACAACUGGAGUCUCAGAUCCUCGGGGAGUUACCGGCGACGGCGAGCGGGAGCAGCCGCGCGCGCUUCGUCAUCCUGGUGACCGACACGGCGGUGACGGAGGGCAGCGGCGGCAGAUUCGGCAAGCUGCGGCGCGAGCUCCUCCCCCCGGUGCACACGUUCGGCCUCGGCGCGGGGCACGACCCCAGGGCGCUGCUCUCCAUCGCCAGGGAGUCCCAGGGCACCUACUCCUUCGUCGACGACCAGAACACGGACGGCAUCACGGGCGCCAUCGCCAUCUGCCUCAGCGGGCUCAAGGACGUGGUCGCCGUCGGCACGCGCGUCCGCGUUGAGGCGCCUGUCGGGAGCGGGGUCACGAUCGAGAGGAUCGAGUCGGGGGGGGUACAGGACUAACCCCAACACCGGAGACGACAAGACGUACGGCGAGGUCGCCGUAGGCGCCCUCUAUGCCGAAGAGGUGAAGAGCUUCAUCGUCCACCUCCAGGUGCCUGCUCUGCCUUCGACGUCGGCGAUGACGACCUCCUCUUCCGUCGACAACGGAGGCUGCGACAAGCAACAGCUGCUCACCGUCACCUUCGCCGGCCACUACGCCACCAGGGACGAGGGAGGUGCCACGUCUCCAGCUUCUCCAAGUCCGACAGUGACCACCACAGCAAUCUUGUACGUGCAAAGGCCGCCGCCGGAAGCCCUCGACGUCGCCGGCGGCGGCGCGCUGUUCAGAGUCCCCGUCCCCGCGGUGAUGAACCUCAUCGCGCGGUUCGGCGUGCUGGAGAUGGUGACCACCUUCGUCGAGAACGAGAUCUGGCGGCUUAGUUCUUCCAGUUCCAGCACGGUGGAAGUGGCGACAAAGCUGCGGACGCAGUGGGAGCAGUUCGUGCAGGCCCGGCAGUUCUGGAGCGGCCUGGACCUGGGAGUCCUCGACGUCGAGGUCAACAGGAUGGCGAGCAUCCUAGAAGCAGCAGGAACCCGAAUCGGUUCGUCGGCGACGGCCUACAUGCUGUCGUGGCUGUCGAGCUACCAGAUGCAGCGGCCGACGGCCAUGGGCUCGCCGAGCAUCGUGGCCGCCGCGUUCGUCACCGUGAAGAUGCAGCUCACGCUGCAGCAGGCGACCAUCGUCACCAUUCGUCCACAACCAUGCAUCGGCGGCUGCCCGGCGUGCGAGUGCGGGUGCGAGGACCGCUGCGUGCAGCCACUGCCGCCGCCGGUGCUCCUGCCGUCCGGACGCGGCGACGACACCUACCGCGUCAACCCCGCGUACCCGCAGGGCGUACUGUUCAACGCCAUCAACCAAGCAAUGGAGCAGAUGUACCUGGCGUUGGUCCGGGCGAGCAAUCUGACGCGUUGCGACGACGCUGCCCGCGUCGAGUUGUUCCUGCCGGCAUGAUCCGGCGACCGAUCGACGACGACUCACGGGGUACGGGCAACUCGCCGCCGAUCGAUCCAUCAAGGAUCUAGCUAGCUGUACCGUCUACCGUAUACCGUUCUAGUAGGCUAGUAGUAUACGGUGGUGUGCUUAACUAUACAAGCUAAGUACUGUACGACCAAGCUUAGCUUGUCAUAAAUAAGCAAUCGAUCAUACGCACUCCAUAACUAGUACAUGCUCGUAUGCGUUGCCUUGUGCUCUCAUUUCCUUUCUAUCCAGAAACCCUCUACACUACAUCUACACAGUUAUGUACUUAUGUUACUCGCCAACGAGCAUUUUCGAUGCAUGGAUUGGCCUUGCCUCCAUAAUCUACUGCUAGGCAGUUUGAUAUCAAUAUUUCGUAACCUUGUA